CAAGUUGGCUGGGUGAUCGCGGUCGAACGUUCGCAAGAGCGCCCGGCUGAGGAAAGUCCGCACUCCACAGGGCACGGCGCCGGCUAACAGCCGGGCGGGGCAACCCGACGGCAAGUGCAACAGAGAGGCAUAUUGCCAGCCAAACGGAAGACCGUUUGGCCGGUGAGGGUGAAACGGUGGUGUAAGAGACCACCGGCGGCGGCCGCAAUGCCGCCGGCCAGGCAAACCCCGCCGGGAGCAAGACCAAGCAGGGCGAAGAGUCUCGUGGCAAGCCACGAGGCCCACGGCGCGGCCCGCGCCGUCCGACGUCCGGGUAGGUUGCACGAGGGCAUUGGCAACAAUGCUCCCAGAUAGAUGAUCACCAGCGCCCACGUCCGCGUGAGCGCCGACAGAAUGCGGCUUAUAGGCUGACUUGGAAA
RNAcentral lists this RNase P RNA (419 nucleotides) under Chloroflexota bacterium. RNAcentral describes it as "Chloroflexi bacterium (wastewater metagenome) RNase P RNA component class A". It matches the Rfam family "Bacterial RNase P class A". Rfam says of the family: Ribonuclease P (RNase P) is a ubiquitous endoribonuclease, found in archaea, bacteria and eukarya as well as chloroplasts and mitochondria. Its best characterised activity is the generation of mature 5'-ends of tRNAs by cleaving the 5'-leader elements of precursor-tRNAs. The record is from RNAcentral. Lineage: Bacteria; Bacillati; Chloroflexota.